AUCACCGCGUUUGAGAUCCACUCUGGAUAUUGCACCUCCACAAUAUGCCCGACUCUCAGUAACUCAUAGACCUGCUCUCUGAUUGCAGCAUCCUUUUCAGCCCCAAAAUUCCUUGUCCGCUGUUUCACCGGCUUCACCUUAGGAUCCACGUUGAGACAAUGCUCCGCCAGCCCUCUAUCAAUUCCCUUUAAAUCUGCGGUGCUGAAUGCGAACACAUCCGCAUUUCGCCGAAGACAACUAACGAGCUCCUCUCUGACCUGAUCACUCAUGGCAGACCCGAUUUUAGUCUGGAAACCCUCUUUCCCCGGGAAUAAUUCAAUCAUAUUGCAAACAUCGCUAGUGGACACCAGCGCGGUUUUUUCUGUGGAGUCUCUAUCUUUUAAUAAAUCUGCCAGCUCUUGGCGCUCCUCUGCUGAGGCAUGCACCUCGCCCACCUUUCCCUUUUUCCGUGUAUCUGAUCCCUC
RNAcentral lists this long non-coding RNA (464 nucleotides) under Salvia miltiorrhiza (redroot sage). RNAcentral's name for it is "long non-coding RNA (SMIL_LNC013401)". The record is from RNAcentral. Lineage: Eukaryota; Viridiplantae; Streptophyta; Magnoliopsida; Lamiales; Lamiaceae.